AUCGAUCAUUCACUCCAGAGGUAGAUCUUUGUUGUGAAGAGAUGUUCAACUCUGCUGUAUCGAUCGUUCACUGCAGAGGUAGAUCUUUGUUGUGAAGAGAUGUUCAACUCUCUGCUGUAUCGAUCGUUCACUCCAGACGUAGAUCUUUGUUGUGAUGAGAUGUUCAACUCUCUGCUGUAUGGAUCGUUCACUGCAGACGUAGAUCUUUGUUGUGAUGAGAUGUUCAACUCUCUGCUGUAUGGAUCGUUCCCUCCAGAGGUAGAUCUUUGUUCUGAAGAGAUGUUCAACUCUCUGCUCUAAAGGGCCUCAGCUCCUACUGGUGUUUAUAAGGCUCCUGUCACGAACGACCGCUUCACCUUCUAUUUACUUGAUGUGGAUGUUACUGGUUGUUUUACUGUGUUAUGUUACAUGUAGUGUUUUAACACCACUCUGAACCACACACUGAGUCGCCUGGUUUGUGCUCUGAACAACGGUUGUUGUUGUCAUUGUCAAGCUAAACGUAAAGUAAAAAAGCACAAACAGACUGUGGACUCAGGCUAGAAUCUGAGGGCCCGCUCCAGAGCAGUCUGUAUCUGUAAGGGUUGAAUCCUAGAAUCUGAGGGCACGUUACAGAGCAGUCUGUAUCUGUAAUCUGAGGGCCCGCUACAGAGCAGUCUGUAUCUGUAAUCUGAGGGCCCGCUACAGAGCAGUCUGUAUCUGUAAGUGUUGAAUCCUAGAAUCUGAGGGCCCGCUACAGAGCAGUCUGUAUCUGUAAGGGUUGAAUCCUAGAAUCUGAGGGCCCGCUACAGAGCAGUCUAUAUCUGUAAGGGUUGAAUCCUAGAAUCUGAGGGCACGUUACAGAGCAGUCUGGAUCUGUAAGGGUUGAAUCCUAGAAUCUGAGGGCACGUUACAGAGCAGUCUAUAUCUGUAAGGGUUGAAUCCUAGAAUCUGAGGGCCCACUACAGAGCAGUCUGUAUCUGUAAGGGUUGAAUCCUAGAAUCUGAGGGCCCGCUCCAGAGCAGUCUGGAUCUGUAAGGGUUGAAUCCUAGAAUCUGAGGGCCCACUACAGAGCAGUCUGUAUCUGUAAGGCUUGAAUCCUAUAAUCUGAGGGCACGUUACAGAGCAGUCUAUAUCUGUAAUCUGAGGGCCCGCUACAGAGCAGUCUGUAUCUGUAAGGCUUGAAUCCUAUAAUCUGAGGGCCGGCUACAGAGCAGUCUAUAUCUGUAAUCUGAGGGCCCGCUACAGAGCAGUCUGUAUCUGUAAGGCUUGAAUCCUAUAAUCUGAGGGCACGUUACAGAGCAGUCUAUAUCUGUAAUCUGAGGGCCCGCUACAGAGCAGUCUGUAUCUGUAAGGCUUGAAUCCUAUAAUCUGAGGGCCCGCUACAGAGCAGUCUGGAUCUGUAAGGGUUGAAUCCUAUAAUCUGAGGGCACGUUGCAGAGCAGUCUGUAUCUGUAAGGGUUGAAUCCUAUAAUCUGAGGGCCCGCUACAGAGCAGUCUGUAUCUGUAAGGGUUGAAUCCUAGAAUCUGAGGGCCCGCUACAGAGCAGUCUGGAUCUGUAAGGGUUGAAUCCUAGAAUCUGAGGGCCCGCUACAGAGCAGUCUGUAUCUGUAAGGGUUGAAUCCUAGAAUCUGAGGGCCCGCUACAGAGCAGUCUGUAUCUGUAAGGGUUGAAUCCUAGAAUCUAAGGGCCCGCUACAGAGCAGUCUGUAUCUGUAAGGGUUGAAUCCUAGAAUCUGAGGGCCCGCUACAGAGCAGUCUGUAUCUGUAAGGGUUGAAUCCUAGAAUCUGAGGGCACGUUACAGAGCAGUCUGGAUCUGUAAGGGUUGAAUCCUAUAAUCUGAGGGCCCGCUACAGAGCAGUCUGUAUCUGUAAGGCUUGAAUCCUAGAAUUUGAGGGCACGUUACAGAGCAGUCUGUAUCUGUAAGGGUUGAAUCCUAGAAUCUGAGGGCCCGCUACAGAGCAGUCUGUAUCUGUAAUCUGAGGGCCCGCUACAGAGCAGUCUGUAUCUGUAAGGGUUGAAUCCUAGAAUCUGAGGGCCCGCUACAGAGCAGUCUGUAUCUGUAAUCUGAGGGCCCGCUACAGAGCAGUCUGUAUCUGUAAUCUGAGGGCCCGCUACAGAGCAGUCUGUAUCUGUAAGGCUUGAAUCCUAUAAUCUGAGGGCCCGCUACAGAGCAGUCUGUAUCUGUAAGGGUUGAAUCCUAUAAUCUGAGGGCCCGCUACAGAGCAGUCUGGAUCUGUAAUCUGAGGGCCCGCUACAGAGCAGUCUGUAUCUGUAAUCUGAGGGCCCGCUACAGAGCAGUCUGUAUCUGUAAGGCUUGAAUCCUAUAAUCUGAGGGCCCGCUACAGAGCAGUCUGUAUCUGUAAGGGUUGAAUCCUAGAAUCUGAGGGCCCGCUACAGAGCAGUCUGUAUCUGUAAUCUGAGGGCCCGCUACAGAGCAGUCUGUAUCUGUAAGGGUUGAAUCCUAGAAUCUGAGGGCCCGUUACAGAGCAGUCUGUAUCUGUAAUCUGAGGGCCCGCUACAGAGCAGUCUGGAUCUGUAAGGGUUGAAUCCUAGAAUCUGAGGGCACGUUGCAGAGCAGUCUGUAUCUGUAAUCUGAGGGCCCGCUACAGAGCAGUCUGUAUCUGUAAUCUGAGGGCCCGCUACAGAGCAGUCUGUAUCUGUAAGUGUUGAAUCCUAGAAUCUGAGGGCCCGCUACAGAGCAGUCUGUAUCUGUAAGGGUUGAAUCCUAGAAUCUGAGGGCCCGCUACAGAGCAGUCUAUAUCUGUAAGGGUUGAAUCCUAGAAUCUGAGGGCACGUUACAGAGCAGUCUGUAUCUGUAAGCAUUGAAUCCUAGAAUCUGAGGGCCCGCUACAGAGCAGUCUAUAUCUGUAAGGGUUGAAUCCUAGAAUCUGAGGGCCCGCUACAGAGCAGUCUAUAUCUGUAAGGGUUGAAUCCUAGAAUCUGAGGGCCCGCUACAGAGCAGUCUAUAUCUGUAAGGUUUGAAUCCUAGAAUCUGAGGGCCCGCUACAGAGCAGUCUGGAUCUGUAAGGGUUGAAUCCUAGAAUCUGAGGGCAGGUUACAGAGCAGUCUAUAUCUGUAAGGGUUGAAUCCUAGAAUCUGAGGGCCCACUACAGAGCAGUCUAUAUCUGUAAGGGUUGAAUCCUAGAAUCUGAGGGCCCGCUACAGAGCAGUCUGGAUCUGUAAGGCUUGAAUCCUAGAAUCUGAGGGCAGGUUACAGAGCAGUCUGUAUCUGUAAGGCUUGAAUCCUAGAAUCUGAGGGCAGGUUACAGAGCAGUCUAUAUCUGUAAUCUGAGGGCCCGCUACAGAGCAGUCUGUAUCUGUAAUCUGAGGGCCCGCUACAGAGUAGUCUUUAUCUGUAAGGGUUGAAUCCUAGAAUCUGAGGGCCCGCUACAGAGCAGUCUUUAUCUGUAAGGGUUGAAUCCUAGAAUCUGAGGGCCCGCUACAGAGCAGUCUGUAUCUGUAAGGGUUGAAUCCUAGAAUCUGAGGGCACGUUACAGAGCAGUCUGGAUCUGUAAGGGUUGAAUCCUAUAAUCUGAGGGCCCGCUACAGAGCAGUCUGUAUCUGUAAGGCUUGAAUCCUAGAAUUUGAGGGCACGUUACAGAGCAGUCUGUAUCUGUAAGGGUUGAAUCCUAGAAUCUGAGGGCCCGCUACAGAGCAGUCUGUAUCUGUAAUCUGAGGGCCCGCUACAGAGCAGUCUGUAUCUGUAAGGGUUGAAUCCUAGAAUCUGAGGGCCCGCUACAGAGCAGUCUGUAUCUGUAAUCUGAGGGCCCGCUACAGAGCAGUCUGUAUCUGUAAUCUGAGGGCCCGCUACAGAGCAGUCUGUAUCUGUAAGGCUUGAAUCCUAUAAUCUGAGGGCCCGCUACAGAGCAGUCUGUAUCUGUAAGGGUUGAAUCCUAUAAUCUGAGGGCCCGCUACAGAGCAGUCUGGAUCUGUAAUCUGAGGGCCCGCUACAGAGCAGUCUGUAUCUGUAAUCUGAGGGCCCGCUACAGAGCAGUCUGUAUCUGUAAGGCUUGAAUCCUAUAAUCUGAGGGCCCGCUACAGAGCAGUCUGUAUCUGUAAGGCUUGAAUCCUAGAAUCUGAGGGCCCGCUACAGAGCAGUCUGGAUCUGUAAUCUGAGGGCCCGCUACAGAGCAGUCUGGAUCUGUAAGGCUUGAAUCCUAGAAUCUGAGGGCCCGCUACAGAGCAGUCUGUA
Molecule: long non-coding RNA, 4171 nt
Organism: Oncorhynchus keta (chum salmon)
Lineage: Eukaryota; Metazoa; Chordata; Actinopteri; Salmoniformes; Salmonidae
Exons: 3
Source: RefSeq, a predicted model, not a curated record